RNAcentral lists this long non-coding RNA (843 nucleotides) under Bemisia tabaci. RNAcentral describes it as "lncRNA ENSSSA3NGG000737". Lineage: Eukaryota; Metazoa; Arthropoda; Insecta; Hemiptera; Aleyrodidae. The record is from RNAcentral.
AUGCUACAGUUCCUGUUUUACAUCGGCUUUGUCCUUCAGACAUCUGCAUUUAUUGCGCCGCCUGAAGAAUAUGCUUGUCCUUUUCCAACCUCAAAACCAGAACUUGAUAGUUUACGACCCUUGGCGAAAAUUUACCAAGAUGAGAGAGAAGACGGGUGGUGGCCUUUUCGGGAGGUGGCCGGCCGUGAGACGUUCGUCGAUAAAACGACGUUCAUCAAACACUUCUUGGACAGUCGGGAGCAGCUCGUCCUGGUGGCGCCACCCAACUUCGGCAAGUCCACCAACCUGCAGAUGCUCAAGCACUUCUUUCAGAUCCCCGUUGACGCCAUGGGUGCCAACCUCACCUUCAACAUGGCAGAAAAAGCCACCUUCUUCGGGAACCUCGCCAUCUGCAAGAAGCAUCCCUCCAUCUGCAGUAGUUAUCUAUCCAGCGCCCCGGUCGUGUUUCUAGACCUGGAGUCCGUGGUCGGCUCAACCCCGACGACGUUCCACAAGACGUUCCGAGCGGAGGUGGAGCGGGUGUUCCGGGCGCACGGGUACCUGGCCAAGAGUGAGAGGCUUUCGGCGUUCAACAAGGAGGAGUUCGCGAGCUACGAGUCCCACCUCGGGGCCCCCAACCGGACGAUCGGCUUCUACAAGGACGGAAUCGACGUUCUGACCAGGCUCCUAUUCAUCCCCACCGGCGCAAGUGCAUCCUCCUCGUCGACAAUUUCGACCGCCUCGCCGUCGCAGCCAUGCUCGGCAAAGACGAGGAAUAUCUGCUCCCGACGGAGGUGGAGGAGAUCUACUGCUCGCUGGGGGAGACGGCGAAGCACUCGGCGUUCGUGUCUCGGACUUUGCUGA